GAUGAAGAACGUAGCGAAAUGCGAUAAGUAGUGUGAAUUGCAGAAUUCAGUGAAUCAUCGAAUCUUUGAACGCACAUUGCGCCCCUUGGUAUUCCAUGGGGCAUGCCUGUUCGAGCGUCAUUUCAACCAUCAAGCCCCAGGCUUGUGUUGGGGACCUGCGGCUGCCGCAGGCCCUGAAAACCAGUGGCGGGCUCGCUGUCACACCGGGCGUAGUAGAUUUUAUCUCGCUCAGGGCGUGCUGCGGGUUCCGGCCGUUAAAAAGCCUUUUUUACCCAAGGUUGACCUCGGAUCAGGUAGGAAGACCCGCUGAACUUAAGCAUAUCAAUAAGCGGAGGA
This 336-nucleotide unclassified non-coding RNA is filed under the name soil metagenome. RNAcentral describes it as "partial contains 5.8S ribosomal RNA, internal transcribed spacer 2, and large subunit ribosomal RNA". The stretch from base 1 to 120 matches the Rfam family "5.8S ribosomal RNA", at positions 35 to 154 of the family's 154-position model. The record is from RNAcentral.